ACGUUUAUCGAUUUUACCAUUUAUUAACACAUUUAUAAAAUUCUUAGUAGUGCAAAGCAAACAUCACUUAAGCUUAAAUAACAACAUCGAAUCAACUAAUCAUCCUCAUUCCUCAUUUUACUCUUCAAGUGUGAAUUUAGUAUUUCAUUUUCUUUCCACAUCCAUUUCCUACGAAUAUCACACAAAACAAUAACAUAUCAAAUAUAAUUCACAAUUUGUAUUACCAACAUGAGUUACCCCAUAUACCAUUCAUGGCCUUACUUCAUACCAAAUCAUAUACCAAAUAUACCAUACAUACAUACUAUGAAACUUUAUUUUCUCACAUGAUCCAUAACUAAUAAUGCACAAUUAUAAACAUCAUUUCUUUUCAAUCGUUUGUCGAUUAUAAACGAGCAUAUAACCAAUUAUACACAAAUCAUUCAUAUGUUCUUCCAAUUUUCCUCCUCCCCCUCUCCAUUCCACAUCCUUAAUGUGUAUAACACACUUAAACAACAUUAACUACAAUUUCACUAUUCACUCACAUGUAUAUUCAAAGCUGUCUAUUCAAGUUAGAGUCACUAAAUUAUUUUUAUCUGGAGCUACAAAGCUCCAAAUUAAGAUCCGUAAAUUUUCCCUGAAACUAGACUCACAUAUAUUCUUACGAUAAAAUUUUCAGAAUUUUUAGUUUGGCCAAAUAGUAAAUUUUAUUCUUUAAAGAUUCCCCUGUUUCACUAUUCGACAGCUCUGACCCCUCUUCACUAAAAGUUAAUUAUCUCUUUGUAUAGAAUUCAAAUGAUGCUCCCGUUUAUUUCUAUUGAAAAUAGACUCAUUGAGAAAUUCAACCGUGUAAAUUUCAGACCAUAAAUAUUUUUGUACAAUUUUUAGUGAUUUUCCAAAGUCAGAACAGGGGAUUUCAAAAUCAUUCUGACCCAGUCUCACUAAAAUUCCAAUAUCUAAAAAUAUAUAACUUCUUUGGCCAUUCUUUCUAUUUUAUGUGAAAGUAAACUCAUUAAGAUUUAAUUUCAUGUCUUAUUCAACCACUAACUCAAUUUCUAUAAUUUUUGGUGAUUUUUCAAACUAACAUCACUGUCACUGUCCAAAUCUAUUCUAUUCCAACAUCCCUCAUUCACAUAGCACUAUAACCAUUUAUUUUAUAACACAAUACAAGACUUCAUCACUUCAGUCACUCUUUCGCAACUUAUCACGUUCCAAUCACAUACUCAUAUCUCACUGAACAUGUCGGUAUAACAACAAAUAUUUGGGGUUUUUCACACAGUACUACCCAUGUUACUUUUAUCAUUCAAUACACGUAGUAGCCUCCACAUAGUACUACACACGUGAUCAAGUUUUACGGUUCACGUAGUAGCCUUCACAUAGUACUACACACGUGACCAAAACUUUUCGAUACACAUAGUAGCCUUCACUUAGUACUACACAUGUGACCAUUAUUUAUCGAUACACGUAGUAGCCUUCACACAGUACUACACACGUGUUCAUCGAUACCUUAUUCAAAUCUUUACCAUUUCGACAGUUCCACAAAGACUCUUACUUUCCAAUAAUUUACAAUUUCUCCAUAUCACAUCAUAAUAUCAACUUUCCACUCCACUCCAUAACCAAAUUAAUAAUUCGAUUUAAAUCACUUCAACCAUUACUUGCAGUUGGUAUAUUCAUAAACCAAGCUGAUUUUAAACAAAUCAACUAUCAAUUUCAAAUUUCUAACUUUAAUAUAACUAUUUCAUAUCCAACCCUUUCGCAUAUAUUGUCACGAAAUAUAACAAAAAUAAUUAUAAUAAUUUAUUAAUUACAUACAACUUACUUUGGUGCAACAAUAUAGAAAUUUAGCAAUUUAGUCUUUAAUCUUUUCUUUUAUCCAAUCAAGGUCGAUUCCACUUCUUUCUUGAAAUAUAAUAACACAUUUGACUUAUUUAACAUGCACAUUCAUCAAAAUAAUCCUUAACUCAAACUUUGGCAAAAUUAUAAUUUUGCCCCUAAACUUUUGCAUAUUUACACUUUUGCCCCAACGCUCGGAAAUUAAAAUUCAUCUCUUAUUCUUAUGUUUUAUUACAUACUGAACAUUUUUCCCUUCUAUGGCAAUGUCAAAUUCCCACUCUAACACUUAUUUAUGAACAUUAGGUAUUUUUACCGAUUAUGUCUUUUACUCGUUUUCACUUAAAAUCGCUUAGCAAAAGUUGUUUAACAUAAUUUCUAGCUUUAUAAUCUAUCAUAAAACAUCAAAAUAAACACAUUUCACCUAUGGGUAUUUUUCCAAAUAUAAACCCUAGGUUAAAUUAUUGCUAGAAUAAGCAAAAUCAAGUUACCGAGACUCCAAAAACGUAAAUAACAUUAAAAACGGGGCUUAGAAUCACUUACUAUGGAGCUUGGAAGCUUGAAAACCCUAAAAAUGGCUUCCCCCCUUGCUGAUUU
RNAcentral lists this long non-coding RNA (2403 nucleotides) under Gossypium raimondii (Peruvian cotton). Its description in RNAcentral is "long non-coding RNA (GRAI_LNC002463)". The record is from RNAcentral. Lineage: Eukaryota; Viridiplantae; Streptophyta; Magnoliopsida; Malvales; Malvaceae.